GGAGAGAGACAGAGAGAGAUUGUAACCCACAGCGGCUGCAUUGCUGUGGGUUGCAAUGUACUUUCUCUCUCUGUCUCUCUCCUCUCUCUGUGUGGCUUCGUCUCAUUCGCUCCGUCCUCAUUGGUGUUAAGCGGCUUCUUCUUCGUUGAUUUUCGGCGGCUAUUUCUUCCGGUCGGCGGACUCUGGCAUCGAAACCUGGAAUCGAAAUUUUAAUAUUUGAACGAUACCGGAAGAAUCGAAGUUUUUGUCCCGAUUCCCAUCGAUUCUCGAUUCUCGAUUCCCAACCCUAUACAUGACUGAUUCGGUACAAACAAUUACCCACCAUAUGCUGCUUAUUUCCCACUGUCCUCUCAUCAUCAGAUCAGUCUGUUGCUGUAUGACUGAUCUCGUUAUUGUAGACAGUGCGAUCACGGCGUCUGGUUUUCCAGCUGUAUAAUUAAUGGAUUUCUUCAUUCUGUGUGUGUCAGGUUCUUGUUGCAUUGUCUGGAGGACUUGGACGCCAGCUUGCGCAAACUCAACUCCCGCCUGUUUGUCAUCAGAGGACAGCCCACAGAUGUCUUCCCUCGUCUGUUUAAGGUGGGACAAUUAAUUGAAAGUAGAUCAAACAAUUCAAAUAGCUAACGCAGGGAGCGUUCAAAUACAAGAUUGGGGAAAAAAGAGUCACUCUUACUAUUGAUUAGCCUCACAUGCAGCACAUGACUCAAACAGAUACUGUGUCAAUUCACCGUAAACGUUGUGAUUCUCUCGGAUCUAAAAGAUAAACCUUAACCUUUCUCUCUAUCUGUCUCAUUCAGGAGUGGGAGAUCAAACGCCUAUCUUAUGAGUACGACUCCGAGCCGUUUGGGAAGGAGCGUGACGCCGCCAUCCAGAAACUAGCCAACGAGGCUGGGGUGGAGGUGGUGGUGCGGGUUUCACACACACUCUACAAUCUGGUGAAGUGAGCGAUGAACAAGUGUCAUUCAUUUUUAAGGGGUGCACAAGGGUUAAAUGCAUUAAAAAUUACAAUGUAAUUUGGAAUGAGAAGAAACAACAAUCUGCCAAUGAACAAAAUAAAAAUUCUAUCAAAAUUUCUUGAAAUUUAUAAA
Molecule: non-coding RNA, 1085 nt
Organism: Xyrichtys novacula (pearly razorfish)
Lineage: Eukaryota; Metazoa; Chordata; Actinopteri; Labriformes; Labridae
Source: the annotation of a GenBank genome assembly